CAAGUUGCAAGAUACCACUGCUUCUUUUAAGAGUGAUGGGUUUCCCAGGUGAUACUUGAAAGAAGAGAUAACGACCACCUAUCUCCUUCAUCCUGGUUACACAGGAAGGCUAUGGACUCCUUUUGGCAUUUCUGCCUCAGCAACAGAGGAUAAAAGUCAUGUUGUGAUGGAUAAGUCACAAAAGUAAAAAAUACAGACGUGGACUACAGGCCUCCAAAGAAGAAUUGAGCAUGCUGAGGAUCGAUGCCAGACAUUGGACAUUUUUGAGGUGUUAAGAGGUGUGCAUGCUUCCAACAUUGUGAAGAUGUGUGUGCUUUCCAGUCACCUUCCACCAUGACUGUAAGUUUUCUGAGGCUGCCCA
RNAcentral lists this long non-coding RNA (361 nucleotides) under Homo sapiens (human). Its description in RNAcentral is "HSALNT0283151". The record is from RNAcentral. Lineage: Eukaryota; Metazoa; Chordata; Mammalia; Primates; Hominidae.